GCCUUCGUGGUGUAAUGGUCAGCACACUGAGCCGGUAAUUCAGAGUUCCGGGGUUCGAUCCCCAGCGAAGGCA
Molecule: transfer RNA, 73 nt
Filed under: Stegodyphus mimosarum
Lineage: Eukaryota; Metazoa; Arthropoda; Arachnida; Araneae; Eresidae
Rfam family: tRNA
About the family: Transfer RNA (tRNA) molecules are approximately 80 nucleotides in length. Their secondary structure includes four short double-helical elements and three loops (D, anti-codon, and T loops).
Source: Rfam by way of RNAcentral